GGUAGUUAAGCGCUUGGCUGCUAACCAAAAGGUCGGUGGUUCGAACCUACCAGCUGCUG
Molecule: transfer RNA, 59 nt
Filed under: Loxodonta africana (African savanna elephant)
Lineage: Eukaryota; Metazoa; Chordata; Mammalia; Proboscidea; Elephantidae
Rfam family: tRNA
About the family: Transfer RNA (tRNA) molecules are approximately 80 nucleotides in length. Their secondary structure includes four short double-helical elements and three loops (D, anti-codon, and T loops).
Source: Rfam by way of RNAcentral